RNAcentral lists this microRNA precursor (125 nucleotides) under Myotis lucifugus (little brown bat). RNAcentral's name for it is "mir-9193 microRNA precursor family". It matches the Rfam family "mir-9193 microRNA precursor family". Lineage: Eukaryota; Metazoa; Chordata; Mammalia; Chiroptera; Vespertilionidae. The record is from Rfam by way of RNAcentral.
CAUGCACCAGAGGGGUCCCUCGGCCUGGCUUGCACCCUCUUCCAAUCUGUGACCCUCAGGGGGUGUCGGAGAGCCGGUUUCAACCUGAUCCUGCAGGCCAGGCUGAAGGACCCCACUGGUGCAUG